This 501-nucleotide long non-coding RNA is filed under the name Olea europaea (common olive). RNAcentral describes it as "long non-coding RNA (OEUR_LNC007647)". Lineage: Eukaryota; Viridiplantae; Streptophyta; Magnoliopsida; Lamiales; Oleaceae. The record is from RNAcentral.
CCACGCCUCAGCUACAAUCACAGGAGCUAAAAUUAUGCCGUGAUACUAGUUUUGGAAUAAAUUUAACCUUCAAUUGAUAAACCAAUCACAAAGUUAGGCAAAAACAAUUGAUGAAUAACAAAUAAACACUAUAAAUUAAGCAAGAAAUCAAAUUCUCUUACAAAAUGGAAAUGGGACCCAAAGAUGGAUUAUACAGGGCCAUAUCAAGACUUAAAUCACAAGACGACUCUAAUACCAAACUGUCCCAAGGGAUCUUGUGCCAUAACCAUGAAGGAAUCACUAAAAUGAGGUUGCAAAAUAGAGGCAGAGAAGUGAUCUUAACAGGCAACAAUAGGGGGUGAACAAGAGGCGCAAACAAGGAUAGUCAAAGGGAAAAAAUAAAGGAUAGAGAUAUACUCUAGCAAGGAGAACAAUAACCGCUCACAGAGAAUGAAAGAGGGCAGCCAAAGGUUGAGGACUAAGAGCACGAAGGAAGCAGUAGCUAUUCUCUCAAAAGGGAGG